RNAcentral lists this ribosomal RNA (678 nucleotides) under Pseudomonas sp. SO-A5-26. Its description in RNAcentral is "bacterial SSU rRNA". It matches the Rfam family "Bacterial small subunit ribosomal RNA", at positions 45 to 720 of the family's 1533-position model. Lineage: Bacteria; Pseudomonadati; Pseudomonadota; Gammaproteobacteria; Pseudomonadales; Pseudomonadaceae. The record is from RNAcentral.
GGCCUAACACAUGCAAGUCGAGCGGAUGAGAGGAGCUUGCUCCUUGAUUUAGCGGCGGACGGGUGAGUAAUGCCUAGGAAUCUGCCUGGUAGUGGGGGAUAACGUCCGGAAACGGGCGCUAAUACCGCAUACGUCCUACGGGAGAAAGCAGGGGACCUUCGGGCCUUGCGCUAUCAGAUGAGCCUAGGUCGGAUUAGCUAGUUGGUGAGGUAAUGGCUCACCAAGGCGACGAUCCGUAACUGGUCUGAGAGGAUGAUCAGUCACACUGGAACUGAGACACGGUCCAGACUCCUACGGGAGGCAGCAGUGGGGAAUAUUGGACAAUGGGCGAAAGCCUGAUCCAGCCAUGCCGCGUGUGUGAAGAAGGUCUUCGGAUUGUAAAGCACUUUAAGUUGGGAGGAAGGGCAGUAAGUUAAUACCUUGCUGUUUUGACGUUACCGACAGAAUAAGCACCGGCUAACUUCGUGCCAGCAGCCGCGGUAAUACGAAGGGUGCAAGCGUUAAUCGGAAUUACUGGGCGUAAAGCGCGCGUAGGUGGUUCGUUAAGUUGGAUGUGAAAGCCCCGGGCUCAACCUGGGAACUGCAUCCAAAACUGGCGAGCUAGAGUACGGUAGAAGGUGGUGGAAUUUCCUGUGUAGCGGUGAAAUGCGUAAAUUAGGAGGAACACCAGUGGCGAAG